Molecule: ribosomal RNA, 504 nt
Filed under: uncultured bacterium
Lineage: Bacteria
Description: partial 16S ribosomal RNA
Rfam family: Bacterial small subunit ribosomal RNA
Source: RNAcentral
GACGAACGCUGGCGGCGUGCUUAACACAUGCAAGUCGAACGGUGAAGCGCUUGCCUUUUUGGUGGGUGUGGAUGAGUGGCGAACGGGUGAGUAACACGUGAGUAACCUGCCCUCUUCUUCUGGAUAACCUCAUGAAAGUGGGGCUAAUACGGGGUAUUCCGGGUCUGUCGCAUGGCGGGUUUGGGAAAGAUUGCGCCUUUGGGUGUUUUCGGUGGGGGAUGGGCUCGCGGCCUGUCAGCUUGUUGGUGGGGUGAUGGCCUACCAAGGCGGUGACGGGUAGCCGGCCUGAGAGGGUGGACGGCCACACUGGGACUGAGACACGGCCCAGACUCCUGCGGGAGGCAGCAGUGGGGAAUAUUGCACAAUGGGCGCAAGCCUGAUGCAGCGACGCCGCGUGAGGGAUGGAGGCCUUCGGGUUGUGAACCUCUUUCGCCAGUGAAGCAGGCCUGCUCCUGUGUGGGUGGGUUGACGGUAGCUGGAGAAGAAGCGCCGGCUAACUACGUG